CGGCAGUUGCGGAGGCCGCUGUGGCAGCGGCUCAUGCGGCAGCCGAGGUUGUAAGGUUGACGAGUAGCGGAAGGUGCGCUAACAACCCAGCAGUGACGUCCGUUAACAGGAGCCAUGCCUGGCGCGAGGAUCUGGCUGCCGUUAAGAUACAAUCUGCUUUCCGAGGAUACUUGGCAAGAAGGGCAUUGCGAGCUUUAAAAGCAUUAGUCAGGCUUCAGGCGCUGGUAAGAGGUAACAUUGAGAGGAAGCGAACAACACAAUGGCUUCAUCGUAUGCAAGCAUUAUUGAGAACCCAGGCACGAGCACAAACAGGACGGAUACAGCUCUCUGAAUCAUUACAUUCAAGUAGCAAGUCUUCUUACUUUCACCACCCUGGUCCACCUACCCCUGAAAAGUUUGAACAUGUAAUACGAGGUAGGAGUGGAAAAUAUGAACAGUCAUCAAUUCUUAAGAGGACGGGAUCAAAAUCUAAUGGCAGGGCAAUUAGUGAUGAAGACAAAGCACACUUAUCCUUUCAUUGGUCAGAACGUGGCAUGGAUGAAAGAUCACUGGAACAAAUAGUGCCUUUAUCUGGCACUAUAGACGAUGAGAAGAGUGACAAGAUCCUUGAAAUAGAUACCGGAAAACCCGACUUCACUCCUAAACGAAGAAACCUUUCCCAUUCCUCUCAUCUUCCCUUGGCUUCAGUUCAAUGUAGUUAUAGUUUCACAACUUCAAAAGACUCCAUGACCCAUCAAACUGUUCCAAGUCCAUCAUCAGGUGAAAUCCAGUCUUUUAGUCCUCUGAAAUUUACUCAUGAGGAUGAGGAGGCCUUUUGCACUGCUGAAAAUAGCCCUCAGUUCUACUCUGCAUCAUCAAGAGGGGGUAGCAGCAGAAGACCCUUCACUCCCAGUAAGAGUGAUGGCUCAGCAAGCUUUCUAAGUGGGUACUCAGGCUACUACCCAAAUUACAUGUCUUACACUGAAUCAUCAAGGGCUAAAGUGAGAUCUCUCAGUGCACCAAAGCAAAGGCCCCUAUACGAGAGAUCAAGUUCAACAAAGAGGUACUCAAUUCAUGGCUUUGGCGAGCCAAGGUCGAGCAGUGCACAGAGGGCUUCUGCCUUGCGUGCAAGCUUUACUAGCAAAGCUUAUCCAGGAUCUGGUCGCUUGGACAGACUAGGAAUGCCUGUUGGCCAGAGAUACUGAUAAGUGAUUCCAAGGGUUCUAGUUUCUGGAGUAGUUUUUUGCCAACUGAUGUGACUUGGUUAAUACUUGUAGUUUGUCUAAGAUGUGUUUAAACUUUUAACGUUUCUAGUGACUGAAAUCUGACCAAACACUAGAAAAUCCAAUGGAAAAUCUUAUAUUUAAGCGUGUUUGAUGUUUGCAACGAAGACAACUUAAUCCUUAGUACUCCCA
This 1394-nucleotide unclassified non-coding RNA is filed under the name Hevea brasiliensis (rubber tree). Lineage: Eukaryota; Viridiplantae; Streptophyta; Magnoliopsida; Malpighiales; Euphorbiaceae. The record is from RNAcentral.